UGGUAGGAAUGUCUCAUGCUAUGUUCAAGAAUGGCCUUUUCCCCUUUAUUCAGAUUACACCUGCUCACUUUUGGGUGUUUGAAAAGGAAAUCAUCUCCAAAAUAUUGUUUUUUUUUUAAACAAGCCAAUUUCAGUUUAAUCCACCUGAAAAGACAGAACAAAUAAUACAACUAAUAUUGUGGUUAAACUCGAAUAUACUAAUUGAUAAAAAAAAGACGUUUUUUUCGAAGAAAUGUUUAAAAAAGGUAUAAUUUUAGUGAAUGAUAUGAUAAAUAGGACUGGUGGAGUUAUGUCACACAUGCAGCUAACACAGACAUAUGGAAAUGUCUGCUCUACCCAAAAUUACAACCAAUUAAUUGCAGCAUUGCCACAAAAAUGGAAGAGGCAAGUAGAAGGGGAAAAAAGGAACUUGUAUGUCGUGCCUGCAAAUUGAUACACAAAACAACGCUGGAUUCAAAGCUUUGAAUUUUUCAAUUUAAAUUACUAUACAAAAUUCUUGCAACCAAGCUCUGCAGAUCUUGCUGAGAGGAGGCAGAGUCAUUAGAUCAUUUAUUUUGGUCCUGUCUAUAUGUAGCUCGUUUUUGGUCACAGGUCCAGGAAUGGCUGAAGAAAUGCAACAUUUGCCUAGAACUAACGCUGCAGAUAGCAAUACUGGUGUGCAGAGCCUGAGGCACCUAACCGUGAGAGGAUCUGAUGGUUCACGGUGUCUAAGGCAGCGGACAGAUCUAGGAGAAUCACAGGACGCCGAUGUCCAAUGGGAAUGUGUCUGUCAUAGACCACCUCUCCAGGAUCACCUGAGGGGUUGUCUUCACACUGGACUGGACCCUGAAACCAGGGGCGAAAAUCUGACAUCAACUUUGGAGGGGACAAUUCCAGGAAAUUUUCUCAAGAGCAAUUCCUGAGGGGUACAGCAAAAGUAGUGCUGUAACACAUAGCCUACAUUGUAAUAUGGUAAAUGUAUAUUGAGGAGCCAAAGAAAUAAGGUGUUUGCCGUACUCAUAACUACCGGUAACCAAAACUACACAACAGCAAUACCAUUGCCUUUAACAAAUCUUAGUUCAGUCACCAGUUUAAGUUGAGAGUGGG
Molecule: long non-coding RNA, 1086 nt
Filed under: Salmo salar (Atlantic salmon)
Lineage: Eukaryota; Metazoa; Chordata; Actinopteri; Salmoniformes; Salmonidae
Description: lncRNA (ENSSSAG00000113555.1)
Source: RNAcentral